RNAcentral lists this unclassified non-coding RNA (212 nucleotides) under Hevea brasiliensis (rubber tree). Lineage: Eukaryota; Viridiplantae; Streptophyta; Magnoliopsida; Malpighiales; Euphorbiaceae. The record is from RNAcentral.
GGAUAUUCCAGAAUCUCUCUUUUUCAUGGAAAUGUAUUGCAUCCUUCUGAAGCAAGGCUUGUCAAUCCUGAGCCUGGGGUGGACCUGAUUGAAAAUUUAACACUGGAAGAUAGCAAUGAUAAUCUCGAAGCCAGUGCAUCAAAAUCCAUUGUGAAAGAAGAAUCUACCUCUUAUAACGAUAACAAGUAUCUGAAGAGGAACAUUACAUUGGC